RNAcentral lists this ribosomal RNA (253 nucleotides) under uncultured bacterium. Its description in RNAcentral is "partial 16S ribosomal RNA". It matches the Rfam family "Bacterial small subunit ribosomal RNA", at positions 524 to 776 of the family's 1533-position model. The record is from RNAcentral.
UACGUAGGGGGCGAGCGUUGUCCGGAAUUAUUGGGCGUAAAGAGCGUGUAGGCGGUUCGGUAAGUCUGCCGUGAAAACCUGGGGCUCAACCCCGGGCGUGCGGUGGAUACUGCCGGGCUAGAGGGUGGUAGAGGCGAGUGGAAUUCCCGGUGUAGCGGUGAAAUGCGCAGAUAUCGGGAGGAACACCAGUAGCGAAGGCGGCUCGCUGGGCCAUUCCUGACGCUGAGACGCGAAAGCGUGGGGAGCGAACAGG